GCUAGCGUAGCUUAAUGUAAAGCAUAGCACUGAAGAUGCUAAGACGAGCCCUAAUAAGCUCCGCAUGCA
This 69-nucleotide transfer RNA is filed under the name Osteochilus vittatus (bonylip barb). RNAcentral's name for it is "tRNA-Phe". It matches the Rfam family "tRNA". Rfam says of the family: Transfer RNA (tRNA) molecules are approximately 80 nucleotides in length. RNAcentral also lists the same sequence under 2 other names. Lineage: Eukaryota; Metazoa; Chordata; Actinopteri; Cypriniformes; Cyprinidae. The record is from RNAcentral.